CGGAGGAAAAGAAACCAACAGGGAUUGCCCUAGUAACGGCGAGUGAAGCGGCAACAGCUCAAAUUUGAAAUCUGGCCCUCGCGGUCCGAGUUGUAAUUUGUAGAGGAUGCUUUGGGCGCGGCGCCUUCCAAGUUCCCUAGAACGGGACGCCUUAGAGGGUGAGAGCCCCGUACGGUUGGACGCCUAGCCUAUGUAUAGCUCCUUCGACGAGUCGAGUAGUUUGGGAAUGCUGCUCUAAAUGGGAGGUAAAUUUCUUCUAAAGCUAAAUACCGGCCAGAGACCGAUAGCGCACAAGUAGAGUGAUCGAAAGAUGAAAAGUACUUUGAAAAGAGGGUUAAAUAGCACGUGAAAUUGUUGAAAGGGAAGCGUUUGCGACCAGACCUUUUCCAGGCGGAUCAUCCGGCGUUCUCGCCGGUGCACUUCGCCUGGUUUAGGCCAGCAUCGGUUUUCCCAGGGGGAUAAAGGCGGCGGGAACGUGGCUCUCUCGGGAGUGUUAUAGCCCGCCGCGCAAUACCCUUGGGGGGACCGAGGACCGCGCUUCGGCAAGGAUGCUGGCGUAAUGGUCGUCAACGACCCGUCUUGAAACACGGACCAAGGAGUCGAACAUUUGUGCGAGUGUUUGGGUGUUAAACCCUCACGCGUAAUGAAAGUGAACGGAGGUGAGAGCCCCUCGCGGGUGCAUCAUCGACCGAUCCUGAUGUCUUCGGAUGGAUUUGAGUAAGAGCAUAACUGUUCGGACCCGAAAGAUGGUGAACUAUGCGUGGAUAGGGUGAAGCCAGAGGAAACUCUGGUGGAGGCUCGCAGCGGUUCUGACGUGCAAAUCGAUCGUCAAAUCUGCGCAUGGGGGCGAAAGACUUAUCGAACCAUCUAGUAGCU
This 876-nucleotide ribosomal RNA is filed under the name Pyrenopolyporus macrosporus. RNAcentral's name for it is "partial large subunit ribosomal RNA". It matches the Rfam family "Eukaryotic large subunit ribosomal RNA", at positions 51 to 952 of the family's 3401-position model. The record is from RNAcentral. Lineage: Eukaryota; Fungi; Ascomycota; Sordariomycetes; Xylariales; Hypoxylaceae.